Molecule: ribosomal RNA, 482 nt
Filed under: uncultured bacterium
Lineage: Bacteria
Description: partial 16S ribosomal RNA
Rfam family: Bacterial small subunit ribosomal RNA
Source: RNAcentral
AUUGAACGCUGGCGGCAUGCCUUACACAUGCAAGUCGAACGGUAACACGCCGCACGGUGCUGACGAGCGGCGAACGGGUGCGUAAUGCAUCCGAACGUGCCACGUCGCUGUGAGUCACUACUCGCUAGAGUAGCUCGUACCGCAUACGAUCUAUGAUUUUAAGCGGGGGAGCGUAAGACCUCGAGAGAUUGUUGCUGUCGCUGUCAGAUUAGGUAGUUGGUCGGGUAAAGGCUCACCAAGUCAACGAUCUGUAGGGGGUCUGAGAGGACGACCCGCCACACUGGAACUGAGACACGGCCCAGACUCCUACGGGAGGCAGCAGUAGGGAAUUUUGGACAAUGGGCGCAAGCCUGACCCAGCAAUGCCGCGUGCAGGAAGAAGGUCUUCGGAUUGUAAACUGCUGUUGUACGGAAAGAACAGGUGUGGGAGUAUACCCGGAGGUAAUGACGGUACCUAAACAAAAAGCACCGGCUAACUACGUG